Long non-coding RNA from Cyprinodon variegatus (sheepshead minnow), 965 nucleotides. RefSeq lists it as uncharacterized. Lineage: Eukaryota; Metazoa; Chordata; Actinopteri; Cyprinodontiformes; Cyprinodontidae. The transcript is spliced from 3 exons. The record is from RefSeq and is a predicted model, not a curated record.
CAACAUCACAGCAGAACCAGGACAGAACGUCAGUCUGACAUGUAGAGCUACUAAAAACAGUGAGGUCGAAGUUGUAAGGCUGACCCGAAAUAAAGAAACCGUUUUUCUCUAUAGGUAUAACGGGACUGAUAAAACGGGAGAGCAUCCAGAGUUUAAGGGUCGAUUCAGCCUUCAGAGCCUUUCUACUGCUGAUGGAGAAGUCAAUGUGACAUUAAGCAAUGUCACAGAGAAAGACAAUGGGACAUAUUUGUGCGAUGUCAAGGACAAAGAAAACAACAAAGAGACCAUCAACCAUCUGCAUGUAGAUCGACAAGGAAAAAAGAAGGAACACACGGAGGAAGGCGAGAUCAAGGAUGAGAAUGAUGGUCUGAAAGGUGGAGCACUCGCUGGACUGAUUGCUGGGCUGGUGGCUGUUCUGAUUGUUGCUGUCAUUGUUGCUGUGAUUGUCCGGAAGAAGAGGAGGACUCCUCCUAAUGAGACUGAAAAUGAUGUUGGGAUCCCACUAAGAGCUCAAAAUGCAAGCAGCCCCUCCUAGAGCUCUUCCUUCUUCUUUCAAUGGAUGCGUUGUGACCCCUCAUCAGUGAUGUCUUCUUGGUCCAUUAGGUGUUUUGGGUCUAUAGGAGCUUCGUACUCCCUCCCCCAGAGGACCUGAGCAGAGGUGAUCAGUUCCUGGCCUCCAUCCCAGCAGUAUUUAUCUACUGGUCAGAACCAUCUAGUAACUCCCUCUGUAGCAUCAAAGGUUACUUAAAUGGACAUCACGUUAUCAGGGCAGCAUUUUCCAACAUGCUGAACAGUCUAAACAGUGACGUCCAGCAAAGCCUCAGCUACAGUAUCCACCAUUCAAAAUGGCCCUUCCCUGUCAAACACCAGCCUACUCCCCUGCAGCUUCCAGUAAAAUCCCCUCCAACUUCCAGCCACUGGCCUUCCCCUGGGUGCGAUUAUUUUUUUACUCUGACUCCAUCCUU